Molecule: ribosomal RNA, 253 nt
Filed under: uncultured bacterium
Lineage: Bacteria
Description: partial 16S ribosomal RNA
Rfam family: Bacterial small subunit ribosomal RNA
Source: RNAcentral
UACGGAGGAUGCAAGCGUUAUCCGGAUUUAUUGGGUUUAAAGGGUGCGUAGGCGGGGCUUUAAGUCAGUGGUGAAAUCUUGCAGCUUAACUGUAAAAUUGCCAUUGAUACUGAAGUUCUUGAGUGCGGUUGAAGUAGGCGGAAUGUGUAAUGUAGCGGUGAAAUGCUUAGAGAUUACACAGAACACCGAUUGCGUAGGCAGCUUACUAAGCCGUAACUGACGCUGAGGCACGAAAGUGUGGGGAUCGAACAGG